Molecule: non-coding RNA, 953 nt
Organism: Biomphalaria pfeifferi
Lineage: Eukaryota; Metazoa; Mollusca; Gastropoda; Planorbidae
Source: the annotation of a GenBank genome assembly
UUUUCUUUGUUUUUUUUUUUUUUUUUUUUGCUAUUUCAAUAAGCUACGCUCAAAAAGGCAAAAUACCAAGUAAGGAAUAUCCAAGUGAAUACUGUCUUCAAAUUUUUUAUUUAGGUCAUCAUAGAAUAGUUUGUGAGUAGUAGCAGAAUAGAAUAGUAGUGAGAGGCGAGUUUAUUAUUUUAGCAAAGAAAUUAUCAAAAUUGUAUACAAUUUUCAUCUUUCUUGGGAUCCUCUAUGAUUGCCUGAAGGUCCCCUGACCACAGAUUGAGAACCACUGUCUUAGUCAAUACCAGUCAUAGCACUUUUGUUCAUGUAGUGCAAUUAAAAUCUUAAACAACAAACUCAUCUAAAUGCUAUCACAUUCAAGCAUCUAACUUGGCCACUGGUUUUGUAAUCUACUUUAAUCAAGGAAAUGUUUAAAGAUAUGCUCAAGUUAAAAAGUAUAUUUCAUUGCAAGUUCUUAGAUAUAUUUGAUAAAACAGGUAAUAAAUGUUAAGUCUCUUUUCUAGGAAAAGAUAGAAGCAAGGGUAGGCUACAUUUUUUUUUCCUUCGUACAUGUAAUGGCUGCUAUUAGUUUUGUGUUAGUUUUAGGUGGUAUGAACAUUGAUUAGAAGACCUUAUCAGUUAUUAUGGAGCUGUCUAAAUGGAUAUUGAUUCCUAUUUCAUCAAUCAGUCAUACCAAAGUCAUACCAAAAUAUUUGUGAUUGAUCAUUGUACAAAGCUUUGAAUGAUUUAGAGGUAAUCAGAAGAAUGUUAUUUCUUUUUUGUGAUCCAUAUUGAAAUGUUAUAUUUGCAACCAUUAGGAAAAUAUAUAUAUAUAUAUAUAAUGUUUAAAUUCUUCAAGAAUAGGCUUAUUUUAAAAUGGUCAGAUUUCUUAACAAUAUGCAUUUUUUGUUUGUAAAUAUAAGGCAAAGAAUAAAAGAAUUUUUAAUCUACUUUAAACUUGUCAUCUC